GCCCCUGGGUGCAAAGGGUUAAUGCACUUGGCUGCUAUCCAGAAUGCUGGUGGUUCGAGUCCACCCAGAGGUG
This 73-nucleotide transfer RNA is filed under the name Loxodonta africana (African savanna elephant). It matches the Rfam family "tRNA". From Rfam's summary of the family: Transfer RNA (tRNA) molecules are approximately 80 nucleotides in length. Their secondary structure includes four short double-helical elements and three loops (D, anti-codon, and T loops). Lineage: Eukaryota; Metazoa; Chordata; Mammalia; Proboscidea; Elephantidae. The record is from Rfam by way of RNAcentral.